CAUUACGGCCAUACCACACUGACAACGCCCGAUCUCGUCUGAUCUCAGAAGCUAAGCAGAGUUGGGCUGGGUCAGUACUUGGGUGGGUCACCGCCUGGGAAUACCCGGUGCAGUAAGCA
Ribosomal RNA from Cottoperca gobio, 119 nucleotides. Lineage: Eukaryota; Metazoa; Chordata; Actinopteri; Perciformes; Bovichtidae. The record is from Ensembl.